Molecule: ribosomal RNA, 253 nt
Filed under: uncultured bacterium
Lineage: Bacteria
Description: partial 16S ribosomal RNA
Rfam family: Bacterial small subunit ribosomal RNA
Source: RNAcentral
UACAGAGGUGGCAAGCGUUGUUCGGAAUUACUGGGCGUAAAGGGCGCGUAGGCGGUCCCAUAAGUCCCGCGUGAAAUCCCCCGGCUCAACCGGGGAACUGCGCGGGAAACUGCGGGGCUAGAGUGCAGAAGGGGCAACUGGAAUUCUCGGUGUAGCGGUGAAAUGCGUAGAUAUCGAGAGGAACACCUGCGGCGAAGGCGGGUCUCUGGACAGUUCCUGACGCUGAGGCACGAAGGCCAGGGGAGCAAACGGG